Molecule: ribosomal RNA, 253 nt
Filed under: uncultured bacterium
Lineage: Bacteria
Description: partial 16S ribosomal RNA
Rfam family: Bacterial small subunit ribosomal RNA
Source: RNAcentral
UACGGAGGGCGCAAGCGUUGUUCGGAAUUACUGGGCGUAAAGCGCGUGUAGGCGGCUUGGCAAGUCGGGUGUGAAAUCCCGGGGCUCAACCCCGGAACUGCAUUCGAAACUGCCUGGCUGGAGUCCCGGAGAGGGUGGUGGAAUUCCCAGUGUAGAGGUGAAAUUCGUAGAGAUUGGGAGGAACACCAGUGGCGAAGGCGGCCACCUGGACGGUGACUGACGAUGAGACGCGAAAGCGUGGGGAGCAAACAGG